AUUGAACGCUGGCGGCAGGCCUAACACAUGCAAGUCGAGCGAGCGGCGGACUGGUGAGUAAUGUCUGGGAAACUGCCUGAUGGAGGGGGAUAACUACUGGAAACGGUAGCUAAUACCGCAUACCAUCAGAGGUGCCCAGAUGGGAUUAGCAAGUGGGUGGGGUAAUGGCUCACCUGGGCGACGAUCCCUAGCUGGACUGGGAGGAUGACCAGCCACACUGGACCUGAGACACGGUCCAGACUCCUACGGGAGGCAGCAGUGGGGAAUAUUGCACAAUGGGCGCAAGCCUGAUGCAGCCAUGCCGGGGGUGUGAAGAAGGCCUUCGGGUUGUAAAGCACUUUCAGCGAGGAGGCGUUACUCGCAGAAGAAGCACCGGCUAACUCCGUGCCAGUAGUCGCGGUAAUUC
This 406-nucleotide ribosomal RNA is filed under the name uncultured bacterium. RNAcentral describes it as "partial 16S ribosomal RNA". It matches the Rfam family "Bacterial small subunit ribosomal RNA", at positions 30 to 526 of the family's 1533-position model. The record is from RNAcentral.